UGGUCAUUACCAAAGCUUCUAUGAACUUCAGUUUCUAGUUCGCUGUGGACAUGACCAAAAAGCAAAUGUCACUUGGCUUUCUGAUGCUGUAGAUGUAUAUGGCUAAGCCUUUUGUCAUACAGUC
This is a non-coding RNA of Pelobates cultripes (western spadefoot toad), 124 nucleotides long. The record is from the annotation of a GenBank genome assembly. NCBI's taxonomy places the organism in Eukaryota, Metazoa, Chordata, Amphibia, Anura, Pelobatidae.